Molecule: ribosomal RNA, 253 nt
Filed under: uncultured bacterium
Lineage: Bacteria
Description: partial 16S ribosomal RNA
Rfam family: Bacterial small subunit ribosomal RNA
Source: RNAcentral
UACGUAGGGGGCAAGCGUUGUCCGGAAUCACUGGGCGUAAAGCGCGUGUAGGCGGAUCGCUAAGUCUGUGGUGAAAGCGCCUGGCUUAACCGGGGGAGGUCCAUGGAAACUAGCGGGCUGGAGGCCGGUAGAGGGGGGUGGAAUUCCGGGUGUAGUGGUGAAAUGCGUAGAGAUCCGGAGGAACACCAGUGGCGAAGGCGGCCCCCUGGGCCGCGCCUGACGCUGAGACGCGAAAGCGCGGGGAGCGAACGGG